Molecule: ribosomal RNA, 275 nt
Filed under: uncultured Cellvibrio sp.
Lineage: Bacteria; Pseudomonadati; Pseudomonadota; Gammaproteobacteria; Cellvibrionales; Cellvibrionaceae
Description: partial 16S ribosomal RNA
Rfam family: Bacterial small subunit ribosomal RNA
Source: RNAcentral
CCUACGGGUGGCUGCAGUGGGGAAUAUUGGACAAUGGGGGCAACCCUGAUCCAGCCAUGCCGCGUGUGUGAAGAAGGCCCUUGGGUUGUAAAGCACUUUCAGUGGGGAGAAAGGUCUGGCACCUAAUACGUGUUGGAAUUGAUGUUACCCACAGAAGAAGCACCGGCUAACUCCGUGCCAGCAGCCGCGGUAAUACGGAGGGUGCAAGCGUUAAUCGGAAUUACUGGGCGUAAAGCGCACGUAGGUGGUUUUCUAAGCCAGCUGUGAAAUCCCCG